GGGGCUGACUUGGAUUUCGACAGAUUUCUUGUCGCACAGAUAGCAUGCCAAGCGCUGCUUGUAAAACAGCAACAAAAAUAACUGUAAACAACGCAGAUUACGCUCCAGCUUACGCUAAAGCCGCGUGAGUUAAUCUCCUUUUGGAGCUGGACUGAUUAGAAUUUCUAGCGUUUUAAUCACUCCAUAACCUUAAGCUAGACGCUUUUAAAAGGUGGUUCGCCUUUUAAACUAAGAAACAAGAACUCUUGAAACUAUCUCAAGGUUUUAGAAAGUUGGACCAGAGCUAGUUUUAAGGCUAAAAAACUAACCAAUUUUCUAAGCAUUGUAGAAGUUUGUGUUUAGGACAAGAUUUUUGGACUGGGGUUCGAUUCCCCACAGCUCCACCA
This 386-nucleotide transfer-messenger RNA is filed under the name Helicobacter pylori. It matches the Rfam family "transfer-messenger RNA". Rfam says of the family: Bacterial tmRNA, also known as 10Sa RNA or SsrA, is named for its dual tRNA and mRNA-like properties. Its role is to liberate the mRNA from a stalled ribosome. The record is from RNAcentral. Lineage: Bacteria; Pseudomonadati; Campylobacterota; Epsilonproteobacteria; Campylobacterales; Helicobacteraceae.